This 445-nucleotide unclassified non-coding RNA is filed under the name uncultured fungus. RNAcentral's name for it is "partial internal transcribed spacer 1". It matches the Rfam family "Bacterial small subunit ribosomal RNA", at positions 338 to 795 of the family's 1533-position model. Lineage: Eukaryota; Fungi. The record is from RNAcentral.
CCUACGGGUGGCAGCAGUGGGGAAUAUUGCACAAUGGGCGAAAGCCUGAUGCAGCGACGCCGCGUGAGGGAUGACGGCCUUCGGGUUGUAAACCUCUUUCAGUAGGGAAGAAGCGAAAGUGACGGUACCUGCAGAAGAAGCGCCGGCUAACUACGUGCCAGCAGCCGCGGUAAUACGUAGGGCGCAAGCGUUAUCCGGAAUUAUUGGGCGUAAAGAGCUCGUAGGCGGUUUGUCGCGUCUGCCGUGAAAGUCCGGGGCUCAACUCCGGAUCUGCGGUGGGUACGGGCAGACUAGAGUGAUGUAGGGGAGACUGGAAUUCCUGGUGUAGCGGUGAAAUGCGCAGAUAUCAGGAGGAACACCGAUGGCGAAGGCAGGUCUCUGGGCAUUAACUGACGCUGAGGAGCGAAAGCAUGGGGAGCGAACAGGAUUAGAUACCCUAGUAGUC